This 451-nucleotide ribosomal RNA is filed under the name uncultured bacterium. RNAcentral's name for it is "bacterial SSU rRNA". It matches the Rfam family "Bacterial small subunit ribosomal RNA", at positions 453 to 902 of the family's 1533-position model. The record is from RNAcentral.
GGCUAAUAUCCCGCACUAAUGACGGUACCUGAAGAAUAAGCACCGGCUAACUACGUGCCAGCAGCCGCGGUAAUACGUAGGGUGCAAGCGUUAAUCGGAAUUACUGGGCGUAAAGCGUGCGCAGGCGGUUUUGUAAGUCUGUCGUGAAAUCCCCGGGCUCAACCUGGGAAUUGCGAUGGAGACUGCAAGGCUAGAAUCUGGCAGAGGGGGGUAGAAUUCCACGUGUAGCAGUGAAAUGCGUAGAGAUGUGGAGGAACACCGAUGGCGAAGGCAGCCCCCUGGGUCAAGAUUGACGCUCAUGCACGAAAGCGUGGGGAGCAAACAGGAUUAGAUACCCUGGUAGUCCACGCCCUAAACGAUGUCUACUAGUUGUCGGGUUUUAAUUAACUUGGUAACGCAGCUAACGCGUGAAGUAGACCGCCUGGGGAGUACGGUCGCAAGAUUAAAACUC